This 320-nucleotide unclassified non-coding RNA is filed under the name plant metagenome. RNAcentral's name for it is "partial contains 5.8S ribosomal RNA, internal transcribed spacer 2, and large subunit ribosomal RNA". The stretch from base 1 to 105 matches the Rfam family "5.8S ribosomal RNA", at positions 50 to 154 of the family's 154-position model. The record is from RNAcentral.
GAAAUGCGAUAAGUAAUGUGAAUUGCAGAAUUCAGUGAAUCAUCUAAUCUUUGAACGCACAUUGCGCCCGCCAGUAUUCUGGCGGGCAUGCCUGUUCGAGCGUCAUUACAACCCUCAGGCCCCCGGGCCUGGCGUUGGGGAUCGGCGGAAGCCCCCUGCGGGCACAACGCCGUCCCCCAAAUACAGUGGCGGUCCCGCCGCAGCUUCCAUUGCGUAGUAGCUAACACCUCGCAACUGGAGAGCGGCGCGGCCACGCCGUAAAACACCCAACUUCUGAAUGUUGACCUCGAAUCAGGUAGGAAUACCCGCUGAACUUAAGC